RNAcentral lists this ribosomal RNA (496 nucleotides) under uncultured bacterium. RNAcentral describes it as "partial 16S ribosomal RNA". It matches the Rfam family "Bacterial small subunit ribosomal RNA", at positions 28 to 506 of the family's 1533-position model. The record is from RNAcentral.
GAUGAACGCUGGCGGCGUGCCUAAUACAUGCAAGUCGAGCGAACAGACGAGGAGCUUGCUCCUCUGACGUUAGCGGCGGACGGGUGAGUAACACGUGGAUAACCUACCUAUAAGACUGGGAUAACUUCGGGAAACCGGAGCUAAUACCGGAUAAUAUAUUGAACCGCAUGGUUCAAUAGUGAAAGACGGUUUUGCUGUCACUUAUAGAUGGAUCCGCGCCGCAUUAGCUAGUUGGUAAGGUAACGGCUUACCAAGGCAACGAUGCGUAGCCGACCUGAGAGGGUGAUCGGCCACACUGGAACUGAGACACGGUCCAGAAUCCUACGGGAGGCAGCAGUAGGGAAUCUUCCGCAAUGGGCGAAAGCCUGACGGAGCAACGCCGCGUGAGUGAUGAAGGUCUUCGGAUCGUAAAACUCUGUUAUUAGGGAAGAACAAAUGUGUAAGUAACUAUGCACGUCUUGACGGUACCUAAUCAGAAAGCCACGGCGAACUACGU